AUGCACCCAACUCCCUCACACCAUCACAACCCACGUUACAAAUCCUCCUCCUCAUCAUAACCAUUCUGUUUUCCGCAUAAUAUCCAAAAACCUAUCAUGUCUGAAGAGAAACACCACCGCGGUCUCUUCCACCACCACAAGGAUGAAGACAAACCCUCAGACUACCCUCAGUCUGGCUACUCUGAUGAAGGACGUCCCGGCGGCCUCGGUGGUGGUUACGGCGACACCAAUGAUUAUUCUGGUGAAGGACGUACCGGCGGCCUAGGUGGUGGCUAUGGCGACACCAAUGCUUAUUCUGGUGAAGGACGUCCCGGCGGCUAUGGCGGCUAUAACGAGACCACUGCUUACUCUGAGGAAAGAGUUGAAAGACCCGGCGGUGGCCGGUACAGUGAGACUACUGCGGCAUAUGGCAGCACCACCACUCAUGAAUCUGAACUUGAUUACAAGAAGGAGGAGAAGCACCACAAGCAUCUCGAGCACCUCGGCGAGGCCGGUGUAGCUGCUGCCGGCGCUUUUGCCUUGGUACGUAUUGUAUUUUAACCCACCUCUAUAUAUAUAUAUAUUAGAAUAAUGCUAAUAAGACCAAAUUUUGAAAACUAAAUGAUGUGGUUGUUGAUAAUGAACUUAUUACUCAAGUCUUGAUUAACAUGCUUAUUUUCUAAUAGUGACACAUUAUUUGGUUUAGAAAUUUGGUCUUCCUAACUUUAUCAUUCUCAAAAUUUUCAUGAUUUUGAUAGGGUAAUACGGGAGAUCAAAAUUUCUAAACCAAAUUUGCAAACCAAUAGAUGAUUGGAUUAUUAAUUAAGUAUCGAUUGUUUGUUUCUUAUUAACGACAUAUCAUUUGAUUUACAAUUUAGUUAAAAAAAAUUUAUUCUUUCUGUCAUAUCCUUUUGAAUAUUUGAUCACUUUACUCUUUAUCACUUUACCCUUGAUCACUUUACCCAUACUCUUGCAACCGAAUCACCGUCCUCCUCCUUAACCUUCAUUUUUUUGUCUUACAGUACUCCAAUCUAUCAACUCUGUCCAUUGCAACUUUAAUUGUGAAGAAAAUUAAAGUCCUAUCGUAAAAUUAAUUAGUGAUAUGGAGAGUUGCGCAAUUAUUGAUGGACUAGGUAGGUAAGAUACGGAAUCAAAGUCUACCAUUAACAAUGGACGGAAUUGAUGAACCAUAUAGGUAUGUAAGAUACGGAAUCAAAGUCCUCAUGUAAAUGGUACAGUUGCAAUCAGGAGAAGAAAUGAGUUAACUGAUACCUUCGUAAUAGUUCAUGUAGAGUUUUGAUAUUAUUAAGCCUUAACCACCUGAUCUUAUAUAUACGAGGACAAAUCUAAUCAAAUAUGUGUUAAUUUCAAGGUUUGUUUUACAUUGAUGUGAGAUCGAUGCUAGCAAGAUAUAUAACUUAUGUCAGUUUCUAUAUGAUGUGUGUAGCAUGAGAAGCACAAUGAAAAGAAAGACCCAGAGCAUGCCCACAGGCACAAGAUAGAAGAGGAGAUUGCUGCAGCAGCUGCAGUUGGUUCGGGUGGAUUUGCCUUCCAUGAGCAUCAUGAGAAGAAAGAGACAAAGGAAGAAGAG
Molecule: long non-coding RNA, 1570 nt
Filed under: Malus domestica (apple)
Lineage: Eukaryota; Viridiplantae; Streptophyta; Magnoliopsida; Rosales; Rosaceae
Description: long non-coding RNA (MDOM_LNC004302)
Source: RNAcentral